GUGCUUUUAGGAGACACAGGAAGCAGGUUUCCUACAGGUUGACGUUUUCUUAGCCAACAAUAAAUCCAAAUAAAAAAACCACAACAAUAACACAGACACAAAGAGCACAUCCAUCCACAUGAACGCAAGAUUUUACGUGGAAAACCCUAUUUCGAGGGAAAAACCACGGGACCAACUCCGAGAAAAAAUCCACUAUAACAAAGGUUUAACAGUCUCACAGCAACAAAUUCCUCACCCUCUCCAACAAUGGGUUUCAAACAAAAAGAAAGAGGUAAAGCUACGCUGAAAAGACCCAGAGAAGGAGUCCUCUCAUCGAUGAGAACCGUUCAUGCAUAGCAUACAGCAAUCCAUUAGUGUAUAGAAAAUAAGUUGAAAGUAAAUGACAGUGUUCUGCGAGGAAACACACAGCUCACCACUGAUUUGAGAUGCAGCCUUUCAUUUGCCCUCUCCACAGGCUUGUAAAGUACAGUUUGCCCGCAUAAAUGAACAUCAGACACCGAAUUGCAUCCAAGAAUAAUAGAAUGCCUGUAAGUCCCCUUAACUUGUAUGUUAAAGAAGAUGAAACUGCAUUUUGUACAUCAAACUGAAAUCAGAACUUGAAAUUACUUUCUUAUCUUAAGAUGGUAGAAUUGCAUGACACGUGUGAUAACAGAAAUGCUGGAGAACAGUACCAGGCAAGCCUCCUCGUUUGAUUGAAGACUGUCUGUCGGAACUACGCCACUUUAAAACCUCGGGUCCCUAAUAUUAAGUGAUGGAGACUUGAUACUUGCUCAUGAUCACAAAAAAUUAUGUUGGAGUUGCAACUUGCAGGGGUUCCAUCCUGGGCAACAGACCAGCCAAACUUAUUUCCUCAAGUUAAUCCAUUGCUUGCCUAGCAAAGUCAACAAUAAAAAUAAAAAAAGUUGUUCUCCUUACAGAUGCAUGAGGUUGCAUAGCAUUUUAAGAAGAGGGAGAAAAAUAUGUAGGUAUGUCUAUGCUGUGCAUGACUAUAGUCCAAUCCAAGCAAGCCUUUUAAACGAUCCAAUUGUUUAUGUAGAUUUUUUUUUUCUUUCUUUUAAUUUUCCUUGUCGUUACAGGAGUGUAUGGAAAGAAAAAAGGACAAGUAAAAGUCCAUUAAUGUGUGAAGUAUGGUGAGGAAGCAAUAAACCUUGGAUGUGAUUAUGGAGCAGAUAAACCAAGAAAGAAUACCUGAUUCUCUGUUUUUUUUUUCUCGUUCAAAUCCUGCAUAACAAAAAACUGAAGAAUCACAAUUUCCCCUUAGGAAGCCAUUUUAGGGAUGGACAAGCAGAAACUAACAACGCUUCAAGAAGGCACUGGUUACAAUCGCUGUCGUUCAACAUUGUCAUCAUUCCAUCGGGCAAUGAUCUCAGAGAAUCACAAUUUGUAAUCACAAGACUUUUGAGAGAGAGGGGCAAACCUGCUCCUUCAGAAAAGCACUCUAGUUUUCUGCAACCACGUAUUGUCAAGUCUCUGAGCGAUGUGAGGCUGCACAGCCCAUUUGCCAGCUUCCCCAAGUUACUACAGUCUUGCAUCUUACCAGAUAUAAACUUCGGGGAUGUGGGCAAUGAUGGACUAAUACUCUCCUCUCUCUUUCAAGCAUCGUUCCUCCAGAAGAGGGCUGUUACUUAUAUAUAAACAUCCAAGUGAGAGAGGGAAGCCCUCGCUGGGGAAGAACCGGAGUAUAGGGCACUCAAAAAUGUUUAAUUCUUCAAGGGAGGUGAGGUGUUGGAGGCCUCUGGAUAUCGAUUUAAGAUUCUUCAGAUUAGAGAUCUCAAGAUAAGUUAACGAAGUGGGAAGCAGCAGACCUUCAUCAUCCGGAAAGCGAUCCACAUCUAUUGUAGAUUUGACUGAGAAUCGUUUAAGAGAGGUGAGCAUGCGGAGUCCCCACUCUGACAGUGGCGAGGAAACACACAGCUCACCACUGAUUUGAGAUGCAGCCUUUCAUUUGGCCUCUCCACAGGCUUGUAAAGUACAGUUUGCCCGCAUAAAUGAACAUCAGACACCGAAUUGCAUCCAAGAAUAAUAGAAUGCCUAUAAGUCGCCUUCAUUUGUAUGUUAAAGAUGAUGAAACUGCAUUUUGUACAUCAAACUGAAAUCAGAACUCGAAAUUACUUUCUUAUCUUAAGAUGGUAGAAUUGCAUGACACCUGUGUGAUAAUAGAAAUGCUGGAGAACAGUACCAGGCAAGCCUCCUCGUUUGAUUGAAGACUGAAUGUCGGAACCUAAGCCACCUUAAAAUCUCGGAUGCCUAAUAUUAAGUGAUGGAGACUUGAUACUUGCUCAUGAUCACAACAAAUUACGUUGGAGUUGCAACUUGCAGGGGUUCCAUCCUGGGCAACAGGCCAGCCAAACUUAGUUCCUCAAGUUAAUCCAUUGCUUGCCUAGCAAAGCAAACAAUAAUAAUAAUAAAAAGUUGUUCUCCUUACAGAUGCAUGAGGUUGCAUAGCAUUUUAAGAAGAGGGAGAAAAAUAUGCAGGCAUGUUUAUGCUGUGCAUAUGUGGGCUAGUCCAAUCCAAGCAAGCCUUUUAAAUGAUCCAAUUGUUUAUGUAGAUUUUUUUCUUUCUUUUAAUUUUCCUUGUCGUUACAGGAGUGUAUGGAAAGAAAAAAGGACAAGUAAAAGUCCAUUAAUGCGUGAAGUAUGGUGAGGAAGCAAUAAACCUUGGAUGUGAUUAUGGAGCAGAUAAACCAAGAAAGAAUACCUGUUUCUCUGUUUUUUUUUUUCUCGUUCAAAUCCUGCAGAACAAAAAACUGAAGAAUCAACGGCAUCUUACGAGAUAUGAACUUGGGGAUGUGGGCAAUGAUGGGCCAAUAAUCUCCUCUCUCUUUCAAGCAUCGUUCCUCCAGAAGAGGGCUGCUACGGAUACGUAAACAUCCAAGUGAGUGAGGGAAGCCCUCUGGGGAAGAACUGGAGUAUAGGGCACUCAAAAAAUUUUAAUUCUUCAAGGGAGGUGAGGUGUUGGAGGCCUCUGGAUAUCGAUUUAAGAUUCUCCAGAUUAGAGAUCUCAAGAAAAGUUAACGAAGUGGGAAGCAGCAGACCUUCAUCAUCCGGAAAGCGAUCCACAUCUAUUGUAGAUUCGACUGAGAAUCGUUUAAGAGAGGUGAGCAUGCGGAGUCCCCACUCUGACACUGGCAGUGUAAUUUUGCAACUACUAAUUUCGAGUGAAGUCAGGUUAGGUGGCAAACCCCUCUCCGGUAAGGAAUCCAGACGAUGACAAUUAGAUAUCCUUAAAUCUUGAAGAGACUUGAGGCUAUCCAUGUGAGUGGGUAGGGACUUCAACUUUUCACAACUGCCUAUGGCAAGAGAGAUGAGAUUUGGGAGGGGCAAGCCCUCUAUGGGGAACCACUUCAACUCAUUACACCCAAAUAUCUACAACUCAGUGAGAUGGAAGAGGAAAUGCAGGGGUGGUAAUGACGGUAUUCUGCAAUUUAAAAUAGCAAGUUUCUUUAGAGAGAGAGGAAACUCGCCAGUUGGAAAGGAUGUGGCAGAUAAACACCGUAGUGUUAAAUGCUCAAGAUUAGAGCGAGACGUCUCCCUUGCAUCACGUUGCAAAAUCCCCUCCGGAAGAGACUCUUGGUCAUCCCAGGAAAUGUUCAAGAACUUGAGUGUUUUUGGCAACUUCCCCUUAGGAAGCCAUUUUAGGGAUGGACAAGCAGUAACUGACAACGCUUCAAGAAGGCACUGGUUACAAUCGCUGUCGUUCACCAUUGUCAUCAUUCCAUCGGGCAACGAUCUCAGAGAAUCACAACUUGAAAUCUCAAGACGUUUGAGAGAGAGAGGCAAACCUGCUCCUUCAGAAAAGCACUCUAGUUUUCUGCAACUACGUAUUGUCAAGUCUCUGAACGAUGUGAGGCUGCUCAGCCCAUUUGCCAGCUUCCCCAAGUUACUACAGUCUUCCACUGUCAAAACCUCAAGAUUGCAAGGCAAAAUCCCUUCCUCGCCCUCUACCAGAGACAUGAGCUGCUCACAUCUAGCGAUCCGUAAACGUUUUAAACUAGAAAGUUUGUCUAAAUCAAUCCCAUCUUGCCACAAGUACGUCAAUUCAUUACAAGAUCCAAGAUCAAGAUCUUCAAGCGCCACCAAGGCCUGCACGAGCUCUUCUUGUAAGCUUACAAGGCCGGAAAUUUGAAUUAACUGUAAGCUUGCGAGGGAUGUUAGAUCAGGCGCAGCUCUGAGAGCGAGAACCACCCCUUGACAUUUUUCAAUGCGAAGCUUUUUAAGGGAAGGAAGGCAACUUGGCAAAUCUCCAAUCAACCUCGGACAAUUUAUCAAGGUAAGCUCACUGAGUUUAGGAAAUUUUCCCAGAGUACUUUCAUUGACACCGUCAGACGAAAACCAUCGCUCCCACCCCAACAUAUCACUGAUGUAUAAAGUCUCAAGAGAUUGGAAAUCCUCAGCACACACUUCUUUCACCCCAUCCAUUCCUUCUAUGCUCAAAUGCCUUAGAGCAGGGAUUUUUCCAACCGAUGAAAGUGAUGUGAUCUUGGGACAUGUAAGAAGCUUUAGGUGCCCUAAUUUAGAAUAACAGCUAUCCCCUAUCCAUGAUGGAAACUCGGUACCGCCAUAUGAUGUAACUGAAAGCUUUUCUAGACUUCGUUGAGGCUUUAAUGAGUCGAGGACGUGCAGUUCAUUCCUUUCAUUUCGUAGUGGAUCAUCAAAAUUACUAAUCCAAUGCAAGGCUAAGUCACAUAGACCUGUCUUCUCUUUCAGAUUUGCAAGUUCUGCAUCUCGAACAUUCACCUUCUGCAACCCCUCUAUUUUAAGCUGCCCUUGUAAAUGCGAAAGCUUCAUCAGCUCCGUUAUCCCAAGCCCUUUUCCUUCUCCCACGAUAAACUUAGGCAACAUGCGAAGAUUUAUCAAUUUGCUUAUCUGCGGAGGCAUCUCCAGCAACCCAUCUGUAUCUCUAAUAUCAAGGCACUGCAAAUUAAUUAAAUUGACAACACAUGUGGGCAACUCAACAAGCUUCCGGCACCCACGUAACCUCAAAGUCUGCAAGUUGAAGAGUUCACCCAACGAUUCAGGUAAUCUUUUAAUCCAAGUAUAGGACAAGUUAAGGUAACGUAAACGCUUUAAGGUACCAGUAGAAUUUGGCAAUUCCUCUACAUAAUAACCAGCUAGUGACAAUGCCCUUAAACAUUUUAAUUUUGGCACUAAAUCAUCCAACACCUUGCUAGAUAAGUGAUUACGGCCAAACCGUGAUGAAUAAUUUGGCAAUGCUAAGAAUGUUCGCAAGUUCUUCAUUUCAUAGAAGACAUCAAAUCUUUGAGAAAUGUCAUGUCUAUGAGAAGUGAAUGAAGAGUGGCGAACUGCAGCAUAUGAUUCCACUGAGCAUGGUUCCUUCUUCGUGUCAUCCAAGUAAAAGCAUAUUUCUCCGCUUACGAACCGAGCAAGAUCACUUAUAAGAUCAUGCAUUAUAAAUCGUGAUAUGUUGCUACUAGAUCGUUGAAAAAACGACCUUGAUGAUAAAUCACGAAAAUAUUCAUGGCCUAAGUCUUCCAUGUGCUUCUUUUUCAUUUUUUGCUUCAGAAAACCCUCUGCCAUCCACAGGGAAACUAGCUCGCCCUCCUCGAACUCAUAAUCUUUAGGAAAGAUUGCGCAGUAAGCAAAACACUUCUUCAAAUGGGAAGGAAGAUGACUAUAGCUUAAUCUCAAAGCUGAAAGAAUGCCACUUUCAGUUUCUGGCAAAUUCCACAUCUCACUGCUCAAAAUGUCUUCCCACUCUUCAAGGUUCUGUUUAUGGCGUAAGAGUCCUCCAAGUGUCUCUGCAACCAAAGGCAAUCCUUUACAUUUUUCACUAUCUCUUCUCCUAUUUCUUUCAAUUCCAAAUGAGCAUCAAAAUUUCUGGAAUCCAAAGCAUGUUGGGUAAAUAUGCGUAGACAUUCAUCAAAUGAUAGCCUCUCCAAAGUGUAAGCACGAACAGAGCCCAUUUGUGAAGCAAUGUCUUCAAUACGAGUUGUGAUGAUGACUUUGCUCCCUCUUGCUCCUGCACUGAAGGGAAGAGAAAGGGCAGUCCAAUCAUCAUAGUUGUUACUCCAAACAUCAUCCAGCACUAUCAAAAACUUCUUUCCAGACAAUUUGUCCUUCAAUCUUUCUUGAAGAACAUUUAAAUCAACAUCUUCACACCUUGCCUGCUCUGAAGGGAAGCGAAAGUGCUGGAGGAUUGUUUUUGUUAUCCUCGGAAUGUCAAAAUCAUCAGAAACACAGACCCAUGCUUUGCAAUCAAACUUCACGCUCUCAUCAUUGUAGACAAGUUGAGCAAGAGUUGUCUUCCCGAUACCACCCAUUCCAAUAAUUGGAAUGACGGAGUACUCAAGGUUGCCAGCAUCAUCGUUCAUCAACAAUUCAAGUAUAGCUUUCUUGUCAUUAUCCCUCCCACAAACAUGGGAUUCUUUGACCAGAGAUGUAGUCAUCCUUUUUUUCACUCCCUUUGACCUCGUGAUUCCCACGUCGAGCUCAUUUUUCUCUUUAGCAAUUGCUUCUAGUCGUGUAGUUAUGUCCCGCAGCCGGGACCCCGUCCUCAUAUUAAGCUCAACAGCACUUGGAUUCAGACCAGCACAACAAGUUGGGAGGAGCUUCCGGACAGUACUGCUGCUGGCUUGAGAUUCUGCCCUCACCUUGCUUGCCAAAGCUUCUGUUUGAAACUCGUCCAGCACGUCCUCCACAUCAUAAGCCAAAUCUCGGAGCUUGGUAAGCCAGAUUGUCACAUUCGAACUUGUGAUUUGAUUCUCAUCUGCAUCAUUAAGAACUGCAUCAAUUUCUGACAGUCUUCGCUUCCACUUGUUAAGUUCUUUCUCCACUUGUGUUUUGCGUACGAAGUUCAGAAGGUCUCCAGAGGUUAACUUUCCAAGCAAAGGCUCAAGAAGAGGCCGAGAGAAAGACUUCUCCAACAACUUCCAUCCUGCUGAAUGAUGCCACAGAUAAGAUCAGAUUUUGGCCUAAACAUUGACGGUACUCUAACUCAAUAAUAAGAAAAAGCUAAAAUCCAGUGCUUCUGCUGUGUUGGGUGGAUGUUUACAUCAUUAACAAGUUAUCAAAUAUAUGAAAAAAUCACUUAAAUUAGCAAAACACAUGUCUGCAAUUUUCUGCAGAAUCAGCUAUGAACAGGGAGAGUUUUCUUUACACUAGAUUUUUCGUUCCCUGUCUUCUCUUUUACAAUUCCAGAAUAUUACAGCACUUUUAUGCUUCCAAAAUCUUAUCGCAUCCUUAUCCUUACACUUGCUCAUUUCAAUCACCACGUAAACUAACUCCAAUUACAUUGACUUGGCAUGCGUUACACUUAUUAAAGUUAAGGUUAUAACAUUCACAGCAUAAACCCCAACAGUAUCAGAAGCCAAUGAACAAAAAAAAACACUGAACCCAGUUUAUGAAACUAAAUAUAGGUUAGGUUAUCAUCGAAGAAUUAUGUCAUCAGCUUUUCAAACUUGCAAAACUACCCAGUAAUGAUAUAGUUUAGCAGAGUUUAAAAGAUGAAAAAGAAACUAGUAGCCAAAUUGUGGCUAGAGAGACCAAACGAUAGAUAUAGCAUUCUUCUGUGCAUUACCUGUUUUACACCGAGCAGCAAAUCGAUCUGUAAGUCUCUUGAAAACGGUAGAUCCGUACUCUUUAGAAAAUAACCUUAGGUACUGUGGCAAAAGAAGAAGGCAAAGAAUGUGAAGGGGAGAGACAGAGAGCACUGAUUGAGGAGCAACUAGUAAAGACAGAAGACACAAAAAUAAAACAAAGGAGCGUACGCAUGGUCUUGGCUUCUUUACAGCACAAAUAAUUGAAAUAAAAUAUUAUAAAAUGGUCAUUGUUGCUGGCUUCAGAAGCUUUUCAAGUUCAACAAUUAUAUUAUAAAACUAAAAUAUGGACCCGCCCUUAUGAAAUUCACUUGUCUCUCACUCUAGAAUUUUACGGUAGCAAUACCUCCACUAAAAAAAAAGAUGUCAGAAAAAAAAAAAAAAAAAAACAUUGAUAAGAUUCCAAUUCUUUUAAUUGCCGAACAUCCGCGUCUUUGAAGCACCAGGAAAGUAUCAAAUGGUCUAAUGGAGUUGAGGACUUGAUAGUCAGCUUAUAGCGGAAAGAAAAUAAAUUUGGAUUUCCUAAGCCUUUAUAUUAUAGCUAUAUUAAUCAUUAUGAAUGCCAAAAUUUUCUUAACUAUUUUAAAAAAUAACAUGCAAAACUAUUUAAAUAGUAAAUUAAACCGAUUUAAUUAAUAAAAUUCAAUUCAAAUAAAAAUCUGAAAUAUAAUUAUGAAAACAAUUUGAAAAUAACAAGAAAAAUAAAUAAAAUUCGAAGUGAACAACUUCUAAACCUAAUUUCGACAUGUUCUUGACCUUAGUUAGUGCUAGCAAAGUUUCAAGACUUGAUACUUGAUAGUACUGUUUAUUUCCAAGCACCCAACAAAGUUUCAAGAUUUUAAAUUGAGGAAACUUGCUAGAAGGUUGCUAGUUGAAAACUGUAAAGGCUACCCGAAGAACCCAUCUUGGCUCUGUCAUAUUCUCCACUAUUAUUCUUUUUAAAAAGUUUAAAGGGGGACGCUAUUUCCUCGCACACAGGAUGUGACUUUGCAGUUUGCACAUGGUGCUGGGGCAUCUCUGUCUUUCUCCGUCCAAUGCCAUUCCAUUGGCUCCAUCUUUCUUUUCCCUCGCCGCCUAUGUCACCAACCUCAAUGGGAAAUGACAUUAAGGCCCGUUUGUUUGCAGGAAAGUGAAUUCUUUUUGGAAAAUGAAUUCCGGAGAAAAUGAAUUUUUGAAAAGUGAAUUCCCGAAAAGUAUUUUUCGAUGUUUGGUAGUGUUAUGGAAAACACUUUCCAGUGUUUGGUUGUGUUAUGGAAAAUAAAUUGAAAAAUAAUUUAUUAAUAAAUUAAUUUUUUUUUUCAAAUUUAUCUAAUAUAUAUAAAAUAUUUAAUCACUUACAAUAAAAAAAAUAAAAUCUAAAAUGUAUAAUGAUGAUUUUUUUUUAUUAUAUUCUAUAUUCAUACAUAGCUUAUUUUAUAAAAUAUAACUAUAUAUAUCAUAUCAUAUUAUAAAGAAAUAAGCUUGUGAAAUAUUUUUUACUAUUCUAUGAAACCAUUUAUAAUUUCAUUAUGUACGAAAUACAUCCGACAAAAACUAUAGUUUUAAUAAUAUUUGUAGCAUGUAAUAAAAUUGGAUAAAAUAUUAAGGUAUAAAAUUCACUCUAAACUAUUUUUUUUUAAUGUUAAAAAAAUAACACACUAAAAAAAUAAAAAUAAAGUCCCCGCAGGCAAGUGAACAGUGCACUAAAACUGUACUGUUCACUAUUUUUUUAGUGAACAGUGUAUGCAAUACACUAUUCAUGUUAAUUGCACUGUUCAAUGAACAGUUACAGAAAAAAACAUGACAACGCAGUAUUGGCCCACAUCAGGAAAGUGUUUUCCGAUAAUUAAAAGCGGAAAACACUUUCCUUAUGUUAAACUUAACAUUUUUCUUUGACUGAAAUUAUAUUUUCUUUGACUCAUUUUCCAUGUAUUGCCAAACAUGAAAAAAUAAGGAAAAUAAUUUUCAGGAAAUUGAAUUCCUGGAAACAAACGGGGCUUAAAUUAUAUGAUUUAGUGAGCUUUUUUUAUGACCGUAUAAAUCUAUUUAUAAUAAAUAAAAUAUGUAUAUUAUCGAAACUAACUCGAAACUAUAAACACCCCUCUGUGAUAUACAAAUGAUUUGUGACUAUCCAUUUACAAAAUCCCUGCUAAGCUGCUAACAAUUAUUUUCAUGGUGGGGCUUGCAUCUCAACGACUUUGCACAUGGUGGUGGGGCUUGCAUCUUUGUCUUUCUCCACGCAUUUCAAUGCCACCGAAGAACCCAUCAUGGCUCUGUCAGAUUCUCCUUCCAUUGCCAUUCCAUUGGCUCCAUCUUUCUUUUCCCUCGCCACUACAGCCAAGGAUGGAGUCUAUGAGAUGAUAUGUAAAAACUUUAUUUGUUUGUUUUCAGUAGACAUUAUUUGCUCUAUUAUUGCAGGGUGUUUAAUCGUAAUGUAUAUUUUAGCUUUUAAACACUGGCGUUGGCCCAUUCUAAGUAUGAUUUGUAAUGUCUUUUAAUAGAUUUAAGACUUGUACAUCUCAUCGUAUACUUCAAAAAAUAUAGAAAGGAUCCCCUUAAGCAGACUACAGGUCUAGGGAAAAAUUUAAAACAUUCUGUAUGGGUCUAACGCCCAUGGUUAGGUUACAAAUGAAAGUAAAGGAGAGCGCAAGAAAUUGCGUUUUAAAAAAAAAAGGUAAAAAAAGAGUGGGUGCUGUUGCCUUCUACCAUUUCUUCUGAAAUAAAGGAAACAAAAAUUUCAAGAAAAAUCUCCUACAGACAAGGGGGUAGGGCAUGCUGGAAAAAUAAUCUGCUGCCAUAAUCCAGAAAGAAGCUAGACAGAAAAGGCCACUCGGGUUCAAAAUCCCAGCCAUCAAGAUUGAACAUCAACUUGAAACCCAUAAUAAACUGAAAUCAAGUAGACAAAAGUUUGACUAAUCCACCUCCACUUCCAAGAAUAUUGCUAUUUGGUGAGCUCAUCGUCUUCGCAUCCCCCGUCCACGGCCACGGAAACCACCUCCCCCACGUCCACCCAUAGCACCUGCAGCAGCUUCUCCCUGUGCGCUUUCAGACUGCAACAUCAUAUAUGAUGGGAAACAAUCAGCUUAAAAACAGAAAUGCAUGAAUAGAGAGGUUCAUGUUAUUUUCAGAUCCGAUUUAACUUGGCACAAGCUCCACAUUUUGAUCUGAUAUGAACAUUAAUACAAGCAUUUAAAACACUUUUUUGAAUGCAGAGUGACAGAAAUAUCUUAACAUGCAUUAUGUUGUAGCAUAUUUCACUAGUACUUUGAAUAACCACGGUAAAUAUAUUAGCUAAAAUAAGUGUGGCAACUUAUUAUACAUAGAAGAAAACCACCAUUAUCCGAGGAACUCAAAAUAAUAUUUCAUUUCAAACCACAGCAAAGUAGGUAUUAACUUUACCUUGGGAUUCUUUACUGUCUCAUCCACACUUAAAAUAAGACAAGCAGCCUCCGUAGCAGCAUUUAUAGCAUUGAUCUGGGUCAAGGAUUUCAAUCACAUACAAGUCAGCAGGCAGAAAUGAAAAGAGCAACAGUUUAAUUCAUCGAUAAUCAGUAUUCAUAAUCAAAUUGUUGAAGAUAGACACGCACCUUCACAACGGAAGGCUCCCAAACAAAGUUUGAAAAUGAAUCUGCAAUUCCACCGGUGUUGAUAUCCACUCCAUACGGUGCACCCUCACCUGUAAUAAAAGCAUUCAAGCAAUGACAUAUGAAACAUAUUUCAAAAGGCAAUUCCAACAAGUUAAAGACCUACCAGAUGGAAGUGCAUGUUUCUGCCUUAUUUUGUUCAGCACAUCAGUUGCAUCAAACCCGGCAUUAUCACAUAGUUGUCGUGGGAUAACCUGCAACAUGAGUGCAGUAUACCUUGUUAAGUUUAUAAUCUAAACCCAUACUUUAAUCUAAAAUGUUUUGUGGUGCAACAUCAAUACAAAAAAAAGGUCCUACACCUCUCAUUUUGUUCACCAGGGAGUGAUAGACUAGCUAACUCUCGCAUGAAAACAUUUGCAUGGAAUGCUCAACAAUGGGAGUUGGAAUCAGCUGUGCUACAUUUUUUAGUUACUUUUCAACCAAGCACAUAACCACAGGGAGGAAUGACGUCAUAGAAGAGGGGCUAACAAAGUAUUGCAUUAGAAAUAUGGGAAAACAUUAUGAUGUGGCUUUUCACCAAUGCAAUAGCAGGUCAAAUACAUAAUCUUUCAAACAUUUUUAAUAUAAACUAAGCAAGCUCGCAAAAUUGAUUCCCUAGCAAAUCAAGAUUGGUAGAUCAUAAUAAAGACGGUCAUUUUCACAAUUUUGAAACCACAUGCAUGCAUGAAGUCCAUGCCACAAAGGUUGAAUAUUUAAUAUUACCACACUUCUGGUUAAUUACCUCAAGGGCUUUUGCAUAAGAGUUGAUAAACAGAACUCAAAAACAAUCAGAACUCAAAGCUGAUACAAAAGGAAAUUUUAUUGACAUCCCACCGGUAAAAUAUUAGAAUUAUCUGAAUACAAAAAAGACAUAUUCAAGAAUGACUCGAAAGAACAUUUAACCUAUUUAAUACAUUUAACUAAGGUUUUAUUCCGUAAACCUAUAUGUUUUGAACGAACUAGUCAAUUUUCUUAAAAAUCCAAAAUUUAACGGUUUUCUCGAAAUCUAAUCCAUAAUAAAACAAUAAAUAAGACUUGAUAAUAAUUCACUAAAUAACCAUCAUUUAUUCAUCAAACCAAUCCGAAAAAUCUAAUAUUACAACUAGGGACAAUUUGAAAUUUAUCAUAUUUUUAGGGCCAAAUUAUAAUUUUCGUAUAAUUGAAGGAUCAAACUAAAAAUAUCAUAAAUUCAUGACUAUAGUGGAAUUAUGUCCAUAAUUCAUCCUCAUUUAUGUCCAGAAUCCCUAAUUAUGUUCCAGGGACCAUUCUGGAAUUUUUCUGAAUUUUUAGGGUCAAAUUGUAAUUUUUAUCAAAUGGAGGACCAAACUAAAAUUGUCAUAAUUAAAUACAUGACUAUACUGAAAUUCUGACCAUAAUUAAUCCUCAAUUCUGUCCAGAAUAUCUCAUUAUGCUCCAGGGACCAUUCUAGAAUUUUACAAAAAUUUUAUGGUCAAAUGGUAAAUUUUGUCAAAUUAAAGGACCAAAUUGAAAGUGUUUAAAAUUCAUAAAUCCUGAUGCUAUACUUGAUCAAACCAAUAUUAUCUUGCUAGGAUCGAACUCUUUUAACAGUCAAAGCGAUGACGAAAUGAAGGUUGUUGAGUUUCAAUUAACAAUUACUGCCUGACGAAGAAAAUUCCUCUGUACAGUGAUGUUUUUUUUCUUGAUAUCAACAAUCUACUAAUAUAAAGUUCUUGUGCGUGUGCAAUGGCGCUCUGGAGUGCCCCAUUUCAAAUGGAAGAUGCUGAAAUCUGAUAAAAAUAUUAAUGCAGAUCCAAUAAAACAAUUUAUUCCCAACCAUUUUUUUUUUGUUUUUCCCCUUAAUCCCAGCUAGGGGAUUAGGUAUAGGAGUACUAAAUUGCUAGAAUGAAAGUGUCACAUAUGCUUUGGUGCUUUUAGGAGACACAGGAAGCAGGUUUCCUACAGGUUGACGUUUUCUUAGCCACAACAAUAACUCCGAGAAAAAAGAGUUAGAGGGAAAAAAUCCAAAUAAAAAAACCACAACAAUAACACAGACACAAAGAGCACAUACAUCCACAUGAACGCUAGAUUUUACGUGGAAAACCACGGGACCAACUCCGAGAAAAAAUCCACUAUAACAAAGGUUUAACAGCAUUUGAUUCUCACAGGAACAAAUUCCUCACCCUUUCCAACAAUAUUAAGUGAUGGAGACUUGAUACUUGCUCAUGAUCACAAAAAAUUAUGUUGGAGUUGCAACUUGCAGGGGUUCCAUCCUGGGCAACAGACCAGCCAAACGUAGUUCCUCAAGUUAAUCCAUUGCUUGCCUAGCAAAGUAAACAAUAAUAAUAAUUAAAAGUCGUUCUCCUUACAGAUGCAUGAGGUUGCAUAGCAUUUUAAGAAGAGGGAGAAAAAUAUGCAGGCAUGUUUAUGCUGUGCAUGACUAUGUGGACUAGUCCAAUCCAAGCAAGCCUUUUAAAGGAUCCAAUUGUUUAUGUAGAAUUUUUUCUUUCUUUUAAUUUUCCUUGUCGUUACAGGAGUGUAUGGAAAGAAAAAAGGACGAGUAAAAGUCCAUUAAUGCGUGAAGUAUGGUGAGGAAGCAAUAA
This 13719-nucleotide long non-coding RNA is filed under the name Populus tremula. RNAcentral describes it as "long non-coding RNA (PTRE_LNC002255)". The record is from RNAcentral. Lineage: Eukaryota; Viridiplantae; Streptophyta; Magnoliopsida; Malpighiales; Salicaceae.